UACGUAGGGUGCAAGCGUUAAUCGGAAUUACUGGGCGUAAAGCGUGCGCAGGCGGUCGUGCAAGACAGAUGUGAAAUCCCCGGGCUCAACCUGGGAACUGCAUUUGUGACUGCAUCGCUGGAGUGCGGCAGAGGGGGAUGGAAUUCCGCGUGUAGCAGUGAAAUGCGUAGAUAUGCGGAGGAACACCGAUGGCGAAGGCAAUCCCCUGGGCCUGCACUGACGCUCAUGCACGAAAGCGUGGGGAGCAAACAGG
Molecule: ribosomal RNA, 253 nt
Filed under: uncultured bacterium
Lineage: Bacteria
Description: partial 16S ribosomal RNA
Rfam family: Bacterial small subunit ribosomal RNA
Source: RNAcentral